Molecule: ribosomal RNA, 449 nt
Filed under: uncultured Pseudomonas sp.
Lineage: Bacteria; Pseudomonadati; Pseudomonadota; Gammaproteobacteria; Pseudomonadales; Pseudomonadaceae
Description: bacterial SSU rRNA
Rfam family: Bacterial small subunit ribosomal RNA
Source: RNAcentral
CGGUGGAGCAUGUGGUUAAUUCGAAGCAACGCGAAGAACUUACCAGGCCUUGACAUGCAGAGAACUUUCAGAGAUGGAUUGGUGCCUUCGGGAACUCUGACACAGGUGCUGCAUGGCUGUCGUCAGCUCGCGUCGUGAGAUGUUGGGUUAAGUCCGUAACGAGCGCAACCCUUGUCCUUAGUUACCAGCACGUUAUGGUGGGCACUCUAAGGAGACUGCCGGUGACAAACCGGAGGAAGGUGGGGAUGACGUCAAGUCAUCAUGGCCCUUACGGCCUGGGCUACACACGUGCUACAAUGGUCGGUACAAAGGGUUGCCAAGCCGCGAGGUGGAGCUAAUCCCAUAAAACCGAUCGUAGUCCGGAUCGCAGUCUGCAACUCGACUGCGUGAAGUCGGAAUCGCUAGUAAUCGUGAAUCAGAAUGUCACGGUGAAUACGUUCCCGGGCCUU